CAAUAGCGUAUAUUAAAGUUGUUGCAGUUAAAAAGCUCGUAGUUGAAUUUCUGGUGGGCGCGCCGGUCUUCCAAGUGUUGUACUGGGCGCAGUCCGCCAUCCUUGUGGAGAGGGCUCGCAUUGAGUUGCGUGUCGGAUCUGCAUCAUUUACUGUGAAAAAAUUAGAGUGUUUAAAGCAGGCUGUCGCUUGAAUACAUUAGCAUGGAAUAAUAAGAUAGGACUUCGGUCUAUUUUGUUGGUUGCGAACCGAGGUAAUGAUUAAUAGGGAUAGUUGGGGGUAUUCAUAUUUAAUUGUCAGAGGUGAAAUUCUUGGAUUUAUGAAAGAUGAACAACCGCGAAAGCAUUUACCAAGGAUGUUUUCAUUAA
RNAcentral lists this ribosomal RNA (366 nucleotides) under uncultured eukaryote. Its description in RNAcentral is "partial 18S ribosomal RNA". It matches the Rfam family "Eukaryotic small subunit ribosomal RNA", at positions 592 to 976 of the family's 1831-position model. The record is from RNAcentral.